GAUAAAUAUCGGCUUUCACAUAUUGUCACGCCGGGGUGUUUUAGCUUGUAGUACGGUAUUAGUUUAAACAUUUGAUCAUAGUUGAAUAAAUCCCGUACGACGUUGACCCAUAGUUACUGUAGUUUACAUCCUCGUCCGUUUGUUAUUGUUGGGUCACUGUCUCAUUUUCAAUCCUACAACAUAUCCGGUAUAACAAUCGAGCUUGUAAGAAUCUCAGCC
RNAcentral lists this long non-coding RNA (219 nucleotides) under Mytilus galloprovincialis (Mediterranean mussel). The record is from RNAcentral. Lineage: Eukaryota; Metazoa; Mollusca; Bivalvia; Mytilida; Mytilidae.